AUUCUCCCCCCCCCCCCACGCUCAGCUACUAUGGCUUCUGGAAGAUACAUCGCCGCAAAGAAAGGAAAACCAGUCGCUACACAUGCAGGAGACACGGGGAGGAAACAUAUCAGGUCCCCUUCGAUCGACACCUUGUCCCAGAUGAAGGAAAAUGCCUUCACCCUCAUUGGAAGAGUCACUAACGCAGAAGAACAACCAGUUGGUUCGCUCAUCUCCUCUCUCCCAAGAACCUGGCUUCUGAAAGGUAAAAUCAUGGGAUCGGACCUUGGCUUGAACUGCUUCCACUUUAGGUUUGAACUAGAAGAAGAUAUGCGCAAGGUGCUCGCCAACAGUCCUUACCACUAUCAUCGCUGGAUGGUAGUCUUGCAGCAGUGGGAACCGGUAAUAUCAUCCAUCUUCCCUUCCCAUAUCCCUUUCUGGAACAGACUCCAAGGACUACCACUCCUCUUCUGGCAUGAAGAGAUGAUACGCAACAUUGGCCAUGAGUUGGGACACUUUGAUACGUAUCGUAUCUCAAAGACAGCAGCAAAAGACAGAGUUUUCAUCGAUGCCUUUAAACCUCUGAUUUUGGACCCCCUCAUCGAGUUUGACUCAAGGGAGGAAUUGGUUGUGUCUCUGGAGUAUGAGGAUCUACAAUCCCACUGUUCCAUAUGCUUCAAACUGACGCACUCUGCUAAAGAAUGCCCCCUCGCAUCAUUGCAGCCGGCACACCGCCCUGAAGUUGAUACUGUCAAUAGUGCCAGAGACCCACAAAGUCGUGAAGAACCAAAGAAAUAUCCUUUUCAACAGAGAAUUGACAGAUACGGAAGGCCUUUUGAGAGCAGGAUCCCUCCACCGGAAGUAAGGGGACAGCCCCUAAAGAACAAGCUGAUACCCUCAAGACCACGACAGGAGGAUAGCUCUCCACGCAAAUAUCGAGGAAGCUUUCAAACUUCAUCACGCUACGACUACCUUGGAUCUCAGAGGAGACCUGCAGGGGGACGUAAGGAGCGACACUCUCACCUCCAAUGGAGGGAAAAUGAUCGCACGAGGACUUCUCCAAGCCCUAGACUCCAGACAACGAACACUAUUGACGCUCGAGGACAACCAGAGCGUGCAGACACAAACAGACAACCGUUGGGAAGGAAUUUGGCGAUCUGCGACUUCCCACUACAGAGGAGGUUCUCGCAGACUUGCGCGAGGUAACACUCAGAUAUACAAAUGUUGCAGACAAGACAGAGAGCACGGCACGUCGUCAACGGGUUAUCUUAGGAGAGAAAGAAAAUCUAAUGGCAAAAACAGCAGAAGGGAUAAUAGCAACAGCUACACAAAACCUCACAAAAGAUGAACUCCUACCAUCACUACCCACAGUUUUCGAUAGAAUGGAGCCACCAAACAUGAUCUCACCCCUCCCUCAGUCUUUAAUAUACUCGAGCUUCCUCCUAUGGAGACUUCAGCAGAUCUCCCCACCAUUCAAGAAUCUCAUGAACUAGCUGCCACAGCGCUACGCAGUGCAAAAAGAAGAAGGAGAAGAACUGGCCCAGGCCCAAGCCCAAGGCUCCUUCCCGGUUUAUGCUCUCGGAAAAAAAAUAUGGCAAUAGUAUCUCCUGCAAGACAUGGAUUUCCCUUUGCGUCUUCAGUCCAACCAAAACAAUCUAAGCAACGCUCAGCCAUCUCCUCGAGAGGUACCUCUUCUUUGCGUGCAGAGACAUCGAGGGCUGCGUCCAGACAACAGGAUUUUCACAUCCUUCAUCAUCCUUUUCCUUAGUUGUUUGGAGCUGGAACUGCUGUGGAAUAGGGAACCCACAGACAGUCCAGAGGCUCAAAGAUCUGAACUCCAAGUGUUCUCCAGACAUCAUCUUCCUUUCAGAAACAAGAAACUUCGCGACACUGUUCUCUCAGAACUUGAACCUCUUCAUCUUGACUCCCACUUCCUGGUGCAUCCCUCUCCUACAAAUGGAGGAGGCCUUGCUCUUCUCUGGAAACAAGAAAUUGACAUUCAGAUCCUCGAAUCAAACCAGCACUUCAUAGAAUGCGGCUUUCAACAGCACCCUUCGUCUAUGGUGCUCCUGAGAUACCUAACAGACAAGCUGUAUGGAAUCAGCUCUCAUCAAUAGCAGAGACCCGAGACUCUCCCUGGUUCUUGACCGAAGAUUUUAACAAAAUAAUCAACAAUGCAGAGAAGUCAGGGGUAGAGAGAGACCUGAAAACUCUUUCAGUGCCUUCAGAUCCUUCUUAUCGUCGUGCGACCUUUUUGAUUUAAAGCAUAUGGGUAAUUUCUUGUCUUGGAGAGGCCAACAUCACACUCAUAUGGUGCAUUUUCGUCUGGAUCGAGCUAUGGCCAAUAGCUCCUGGAUGGACCUUUUCCCAAAUGGAUGGUCCCAUUAUCUCCCUUUUGAAGGCUCCGACCACAGACCUGUCUUAUCAACUUUCGACAGCAAAAAGAAAAAACCACAAUGAGUUUUUAGAUAUGAUUGGCGCUUACGAGAUAAUGAAGAAGUCAUAGAAAUCAUUGAUAGAACAUGGAAUGAGUAUCCAAACCUUACGGUGGCUCAUAGGAUUAACAACUGCAGAGGCGCAAUAGCUGCUUGGAGCAGGCUAAAUUACGUUAACAGCCAAAAAGAGAUUGUGGAGCUGAGGAAAAAGCUGGACGAGGCAAUGACGAACCCAAUAGCAGAUGACCUCCUAAUCUCAGCCACUAACCAGGAGCUACUUCAAGCAUACAAAAGGGAGGAGGAGUUCUGGAAACAGCGCAGUCGCCAGUUAUGGCUCACACUUGGAGACAAAAACACCGGGUUCUUUCACGCUUCUAAAAAAAAUCAGGUGUGCCCGUAACAAACUCACAACUAUUGAAGACUCAACUGGUACCCCUGUCUUCGAGGAUGAUCAGAUAGUUGAAGUAAUCUCGAAUUAUUUCCAACAUAUCUUCAAUUCAUUAUCCCCAUCAGCGACUGAAGUUGUGAGCAGACUCUACCGCAAGCGGUGUCCCAAAUCCAAAAAAAUCUCUUAGAAUUUUUUUGGAGAGUCAUAGUUCCUCCGCACCGACGGAGAAUCGAACCUUCGACUUUUGGGAGUCGUCUGUGAGAAGGAAGACCACUGAGAUGCAAGUCAUUCUCGUAUAUACAUAUUUAUAUGUAUGAGUUUAUACAAAUUUAUGUGCAAUAAUAAAUUAUCAAAGUGUCAAAAUUUAUUAUUUGAUUAGUAACUUAUAUACUAACAGGCGCAUAUCAAGAUUGGGGGUAAAUAUUAUCUUGUUUGUUAAAUUAUUGAGCAAUUAUUUCUGGGGAUUAUUUUUCGUGAAAAUCAAUAUUCUCUUUAAAGUUGUAUCACCCUAACAGACUAACUAGCUAUGAUUUAGCUCUUAGUUUUUCUAUCGAGAAAAAGUAUUCAUGUAUGUAUUGUCUUUCUAUUUAUUUUAACAGGCCUACCAAUUCUUAAUUUCAGGAUUUGUGACCUUCCUUCGGUAGAUAUGUUCGUGCCCACUGCCAAUCCUGUUAGAGAACCGCCAAUAAUUGUUGCGAACACCGUGCUUUCGCUGCUAGCUUUGAAUUAUCCAGCGAAUAAGCUAGCAUGUUAUGUGUCGGACGAUGGAUGUUCACCUCUCACUUACUUCUCUCUCAAGGAAACUUCUAAGUUCGCCAAGAUUUGGGUUCCCUUCUGCAAGAAAUACAACGUUAGAGUUAGAGCUCCUUUUAGAUAUUUCUUAAACCCUUUGGUCGCAGCAUACGAUUCAGAGUUCAGGAAAGACUGGAAAAUGACGAAGAGGGAGUACGAGAAGUUAAGGCGGAAAGUUGAAGAUUCCACCGGAGACUCCUUCUUGUUGGACGGGGACGAUGAAUUGGAAACCUUCUCAAACGCAAAACCAAAUAAUCAUUCAACUAUAGUUAAGGUCGUAUGGGAGAAUAAGGGAGGUGUAGGAGACGAGAAAGAAGUCCCUCAUCUUGUAUACAUAUCAAGGGAGAAAAGACCGGAUUACGUUCAUCACUACAAAUCUGGAGCCAUGAACUUUCUGGUUAUUGAUUUUUCUAACACAUCUAUUUUUCCUUCUUUUAGUUUUAAAGUACCCAAGUAUUUUUUUUCUUCAAACGACUAUCUUAUUACUCACAUUUGAGGUGACCUGAAAAACUAAACUGGAACAAAAUAACCAAGGUAGUACAGGUCCGGAUCUUGCUAUCUUAACUAAUGAAUCAAACAAUAUAUUUUCCAUACUAGGAAUAUAAGUAAUAACUCAAUGAAUAUAUUCUUAAUCUUCACCAUCUCCUUCAUUCAGUAGAAAAGUUAGGUCAUGCUCCUUGAUCUUCUUAAAUCAUCAAGACUAGAUCCUUACAAUAGGUGUCAAAAGCCUGACACGUGAUAUCUGUACCAUGCACUCCAUUUCCCAUGAAAGGACCUCGAGCUCCGAGUGAAGUGGUGAGAUUCUUCUACGUUGGUUUCUUGCUCCCAAUAGUUGAGUUUCUCCUCUAGAGUUUCUUCAUGUCCAUCCAUAACCACUGAAGAGUGUGUCAUGUGUCCAUGAACCAUCUAUCAUACAUCUCUCAAAGAUUAAUACAUAUACAUGAUGUUGUAUUUCUGUUGGUGGUUCUUCCUGUUUCUGAUUAGCUUCAAACCAAGCAUGACACUAUGACUCAGCGUGUCGGACAGUUUCCAAUGAGUCCAUAUCUGUCCCUCUGAAUAACUUUUCAUUUCUCGCUUUCAAAAUGUACCAAAUAAUCCAAAGAUAUAGAUCUCUAUCCAGUUCAGGAUCUGAAUAACUUAAAACUUAAACUUAAAACUCAUGUCUAUCCCUCUGAAUAACUUUUCAUUUCUCGCUUUCAAAAUAUACCAAAUAAUCCAAGGAUAUAGAUCUCUAUCCAGUUCAGGAUCUUCGGAAUCAUUUUUCGCCAGAAUAGAUAGUCUAUAUUUGUGUAUUGGCUUGCAUUGGGAAACACCAAUGGUGGAGUUGCUGCUAAGACCCAUGUCUGUAAGACUGGUGGGCAUUCAAAGAUGGCAUGAUUAAAUUCAAAGUACAAAGUUAUGUUCGACAUGUGACCAUUACAAAGAUAGUUGAGAAAAAACAUUAGUUUUCAUCAAGCAUGAAAUAGAUAUAUAUGACUUUGAUUCAUUUGUAUUUCAAUUUUACUUUAAGUUUGAUAUCACUUUUUAAAUUUACAUUUAAAAGAUAAAAAAUCAUAAAUACCUUAAAUUUAUGAUAAAAAGAACUUUUCUAAAUUAUUUUUACCACAAGUUUAAUAACGCUUUUCGGCCACGUUUUCUCCCGCCUCCGGAUAAAAUUAAAAAUUUGUACUAAAAAAGAUCUUUAUAUAUUUCAAGAUACUAACUUAGAUUUCAACUACAAAGACCUAUAAAUGGGUUGACUAAACCCUAAAAGAAGGGAUCGAUUAUUGUUCACUUUCGACUAUAGAAAUGCAUACAGCUAGAACUAUGGUUUCCAAACAAAUACAUGGUACUCAUGCUCUAGUGAUCAAUAAAACUCGACCCGUUAAAUUUCAUGAAGAAUCUUCCCGAACUAUUUUUCUUUCAAAAUUAAACUUAAAACUGAAUCACCUUUAGAUUAGCUUAACCUCACUUGGCCUUCCAUACCAUGCUAUCUGGUUAUUCUCUCGACAUCACUUGCAGUCCUUCCAUUCUAGUGUUUCACAAUCGUUUCCAAUAUUGAAGAAGCAAUUUCUCGACCAAUGCAAUUGAUAAACUGACCGAUUCAAUGUGUACUCCAGAACCAAUACUUUCUGAAGCCCUUUGUCCUUUGGACUUUGAAUUCUCAUUCUCGAACACUUCCAUUUCUAUUUUUGGCUUCCCGGUGCUUCUUGAAUUUUCUAAAAUUUUUAAUCCCCUUCUGGACAUUCUACUUCAUGCAGUAUUUCCUUGUGCCAAACUAAUUCUAAUUCUUUAUCCAUAUUUAUUCACCCAUUAGAAUCAUGAUUGCUCAUCAAAACCGUUUUGGAUCGAAUUUCCUUAUUCGUCCAUCCAUUGCCAAUUUCGUGGCCAUACCUCGACCAUUUUCUCUUUGACCAUUUCUUUGUCUUUGUUUACGUCCUUAUUAUUAUCGAGGGUUAUUACAUUCUCAAUAGAGAAUCUCCUACCGUAUUUCCUUACAGUUCAUUCCCAUAUAAUCAGGGAUGUCCGUCUCACCCCAUCCACAAACUUUCUGUAAAUGUAUGAUUCCGGUCUACCGUAAGGCACAUGUUAUCUUCCGAAUUCACUCAUGAAAUUAAAAGAUAAAGGGAAUUUUGGAGAUAAUUAAAAGAUAUUUUUAAGAUAACAACACAGAAUGUAUAUGAAUUAUCUUCUUAUUUUUAAAUAUAUUAUUUAGAUUUUGGAUAGUUCUUGUUAUUAUUUUUAAUUUUAAUUACUGAUCUAAUACAAAGAAUUUAAAUCCAUUUGUAGUUUUAUAGGUAAUUU
Brassica napus (rape) is the source of this 6378-nucleotide RNA transcript. It is a transcript of the gene named cellulose synthase-like protein B6, with no coding region annotated. The record is from RefSeq and is a predicted model, not a curated record. Lineage: Eukaryota; Viridiplantae; Streptophyta; Magnoliopsida; Brassicales; Brassicaceae. The transcript is spliced from 3 exons.